AUGUGUGCCCCCCACCCCGGUCAGUGUGUGUCCUGUUGUUACCGCAGGCUCUUCAUCUCGGUUAUUUUCUACAUCGGAGGAGUAACUGAUAAUCUGGAGGGGAUAUUCUAAACAUAAUCUGGUAGCUGUUACUGUUAUUGAUGAAAGAUAAACCCGGCGACGUUGCUCCGUCCCGGGUUCUGCUGUAUAAAGUGGAGGCCGAUGUGUUGAUUCAAGGCUUGUGGUGUCUGUUGAAAAUUAAAGUGUUCCACUUGUUUUCUGCACGGGUCAGUAUGGUUUGAUCAAUGCGUGCAAUGAGUUAUUAUUUUCUUCUUCUGCGACACUGAUUAGGUUGAAAUGUAAGAGGAGAAGAAGAAAAGAAACAGUCUCAAAGUUUCCCAUUUUUUUCCCCAUGUUCUUGACACUGAUUAUAGCUUUGCGCCUGAAACCUUUUCCACGGGAGCCAUAUAUAAUCAGCUGAGAUAUAUUUACACCAAUCGCCUACAUUUAGCCUAAAGGAUACAUACUACAGCCUCCAGAAAGAAAGAUGUUCUUUUUCAUGUAUUAUAGCUUAUAUAACCUGGGCUACAACGUCUAACUAACGCAAACAGCAAUUUUAAAUGGACUGAAUUAAUAACAUCCGUCACAAAAAAGGCCUUAAUUGCUCAUGUUCAGGCAAAAAAAUAAAUAAAUAAAUACAAAUAACACAAAAAUAACUAGUUAAGUUAAACUGAAUAUACGAUAUUCAUAGUCUGAAAAAACUAAAGCAGCUAUUAUGUAAUCUGUAUCAUAUUAUUAUUCAAAAAACAAUUCAACUGGUCAUUGAAGCACAAUAGAAAAAUAUUUAUAUUUGCUCAAUAAUUACAUUUCAGUAAUUAAAAACGCGUGAACGUGUUUUAUAACAUGUUACAAUUGACUUUUUUGACUUAUCUAUUUUCAAAACAAGAAAAAUAAAUUUUAAAAGCAGGGGAGUGGAGUGGAGGCUGGACACACACACACACACACACUUCUCAGCCUAUACUACUACUACUUAGCCUAUUUUGUACUUUUUCUUCUUCUUCUCCCAAACAGAGAAAGAGAAAGGGGAAAAAAAGGAAACAGAAGAGCCCAGUCAGCCUGCUUUUCAUUCGCACUUACAAACGGAAUAUGUGUCGCUGAGGUCGUAAAAUAACCGCAGCCAUAAAUAAGUCUCCCUUUCUGUGUCUUUCUCCAUGUAGCCCGCUACAGGCUCUGACUUGUCUUCAUGGCCAGUCCGACUGACAAAUAGAGACAGAGACUCUAUUUUUACUUUUACUUUACCCUCCCUCUCUCGUCCAUUCCGCCAUGUCUCUGAAAAGUAGCCUAUAGGCCUAACACUGCCCAGAGCAGGGAGACAGAUAGGUCUACAUUUAAUUCUCGACUCUGGCUUUCUGUGCAGGAUCACACAGACAGAUGGGGAAUCUCUCUUUUUAACUUUCAUUUUGACCUCUCUGUCCAUCUCUCUCUCUCUCUCUCUCUCUCUCUCUCUCGCUCUCUGGCAGGACGCUCCGUUUCCUCUCCGCUUUGUGGGAACGGGAAGCAGCAGCAUUGUGUUGGAGCUGACUGGGGUUUAAUCAUUAAUGAGCAGUGGAGACAGGACAGGCAUGUCCUACAGCCUGGGACACACACAGGACGGUAAUCCUAUUCUUAUAAUACACAUUAGCACGUCGGCUCUUAGAUUGUGGCUUUGGCAUGAUAUCAGUGGUGUGUUACCUGCUCAGCAGCCUGGAGGGUAAAUACUGACAGAAGAGUGACAUAGUUGGAUUUAUCUCAUGUAGCAGUUGGAGCCAAGAAGAGUGUGUCGACAAAGUGUUCUGCAGUUUGGGAGAAGCGGAGCUGCAAACGGCGCCAAACGGCAGAAAGGCGGGGAGGCUCCACACCGGAAACGAAGACGGAAAAGUGUUUGCUCCUUGAGAAACCGGGAGUCUGAGCCGUUGGGAGCAGCAGGUUGUCUGAGAGACAGAAAGUGAAGGAGAAAAACCUAAGUGGAUAAUAGGAAGACAUACCUUAAACGGAGACAGUAACGUCGUCUGUCACGCGCUCUAUGUUGUGUUUUUCCUCCUUGUAGGUUAGCAGAUACGAAUCAUCCUGCUUGCCGUAGGCGUACAUUGGAAAAAGUGUGCUACAUGUUCCUGCGCAGUUGGGCCUCUUUAAGACCUGUUUUCAGAGCAUCUAAAGUUAUAGUCUACAGUCCGCAGGAACGAGUUUUUAGCGACUCUUGUGACGCAAGAAAAAUGUAGGAAUUUUCGCUCACGUUCAUUUGAUUAGUCUGAACGUUUUCGAAUAAAAUAUAAUAGGGCUACAAAAGAUAUCAAGUUACUUUCGCUAAUUAGUGAAAAUAACUUAAUUACUACCAAUAACCACAGUUAGCCAAAAAGGACAGCGACAAUCCUACUACCACUAAUGAUAGCUUUAUAGUAGGCUGAUUAUAUGCAGGUUUUUCGUCGCAGAUAUACGAUGCGUUUAAAGCCCGUUAUGUUCCUGUGCAGUAGCCCAAAUCAGGCUGGUGUAGCUGCAGUGUAAACAGUUAGGAGCUGCUGAAGGAACUCCAGGAAUCCGAGAAACUUCAGAGAUUAUCGACAAUUAAAGCUGAAGGAGUGCGACUGCUGCUUUAUAGCUUUAUGGCUCUUUUUCACCUCGUGUGUGUGCGCGCCUGUGUAUGUGUGUGUGUGAGAGACCUCGGGACUUUUAUGGCUUUAUGACCGUUUAUGACUCCUUGUAAAGUCCGAGGAAUGGCGACGAACUGAAAAACAGCCCCGCAGCAAACAGCAGAUGAAGAAAUGUGCUGUGCUGCACACAAGGAACGCGCGUGCACACACACACACACACACACACACACACACACACGCACACACACGGGCACUGUACAGUUCAUCUGCGGUUCAUCUCAGCCCGGCAAUGCUCGAAUCGCCCGCAUUUCACUCAUUAUUAUUAACAAGUACUGUGAAACAAUUAACAGUCUGUGAAAUUAAACCUUUGCUAUUUAUUUUAUUGACUAACACUAUUAUCCGUUUUUUCCUACCCAGAAUUUCAUUUCAAACAUUGCACAGGGAGAAUUGCACUACGGCUCAUAGACGAGGUAAGGUUGAUAAUGUAGUUUUAAUUACAAAAAUUAAUAAUAUAAUAUCUGUCUUCAUUUAUAAGCUGAAAAGGCAUAGAUUAAUUUCGCACAUGUAGGCUAUUACACUUUGAACCCAUAAAUGUGUUUUUAAUGAUUUAAAAUCUGGAACUCUCUCUCUCACACACACACACACGCGCAGACGUAUAGACUAUUUAUUAAACAAAAACAAUAUUCAAAGGUGGUAUUUGUUCCAGUGACUUAGGGAUUUUAGCACAGGUGGUGGCGUGUUUAAAUUAGCAAAGGUCAUCCGUUUGUUAAGUCAUGUGAGGGAAAGUGUGACUUAACCUAAGAUGACUGUGUUUUCACACACCUAAUGUUCAUGCGUGUAGAGUAGCGGGCCAAGGCUCGGCACACUGAAAAGGAGGCCGUGUGAGUGCGCUCGCUGACCGACCGACCCUUCCUGCACGAGUUAAAGACAAACUGAAAGAAAGUGCCUCACUUGUGCUUUUUUGUUUUAAUGUAUUAAUCGUUUCCAGGCAGCACGACUGGACGCGUCCUUCACGGCACCGUGAGCUCGUGCUCUGGGUCAGUUCACCGGACUGUUACCGGUGGGCGCGAGCACCCGGCCGCACAAGGGCCCCGGGACCAGUUAAAUAUUAACGGACAGAUGAAUGCAGCAUCACGGGGAGGGCCGCUUGUUUUUCUCCAGGUCUGCAAAAUAAGGAGGAAGCGAACACGCGCCCGUGCAGGUGCACGUGCAAUUUAUUUUAAUGAUUAAACGGAAACGUACGACAUAAAAAAGGAUAAAACAUGUAACAACUCAAAUUGUUAUUUGGGUUCAGCUUUUUAAUAUAAUUAAUAAACAUCAUUAUUAGUAUUAUUAUUAUUAUUAGUGUGGUUGUGAGCGAAUGCUGAAGCUAAACUCUAAUAAUGCUAUAAGCUAAAGAUGCAGCCGGUUGUCUUACAAAUUGUGAAACAAUUAUUCUAUUUUUAAAAAACAAAAAAAAAACUUGUAUCAUUAACUUUAAUGUCGUUAAUACCAAAAAUUCAGAGGCCAAAAAACACAAAAUGUUCUUAUUAUCUCUGAGCCCGUAGUGUAUUUCUAAUUUACCAUUUAUAUUGCGAACAUGCAAUAAAGAUGUACUUUGUGUGAAUACGGCGGCGCAUUCGAAUCGUUUAUAUGCAGCGGAAGAAUAAUGGGGAAUUCCCCUCUGAUACUACCGUCCUGGAAGUCAUAAUCUCACUCCACAGAAAAUGCAAUUGAAGUUUCUGGCUGUCGAGUAGAAAAUAAAUAGAUGAGAGGGGGCAAAAUAUUGAUUUUCCAUCUGAUCUUAAUGCAUUGGAGUUGAUUUUGAAUGCCGGAUUAAAGUCAGAUGAUGAUGGAGUCAUAAAUUAAACACAACACUGUGGAUUACUGCCUCCCCCGCCUGCCCUGCACAUGGGCCUCUCAGAUGAACACGUCACACACACACACACACACACACUCACACACACACACACACACCUGGUUGCAUAUAUUUGAUGAGCGAGCCAGUAAAGAAGAUGAAAUCACAGAGCAAAGACAUUAUUUUUUAACACAUAUGAACACGCACGCGCACAGUGGGUCUGCUGCUCGUUGCCCCUGUUUCCCGAAACAGAGACCCUGACCAAUCAGCACAACUUUUACAUCCACAGCUUAGAAUGUGUGCGCUCACACUCACACACACCGAACCCAUUUGUGUGUUAUUGUGCACGCAUGGACUUCUCCACGCCUCACUCACCAGAGUGUAACAGCAGCCAGGCCUAAACUCGGGGAGGGGGG
This is a long non-coding RNA of Scatophagus argus, 4859 nucleotides long. RefSeq lists it as uncharacterized. The transcript is spliced from 2 exons. Lineage: Eukaryota; Metazoa; Chordata; Actinopteri; Scatophagidae. The record is from RefSeq and is a predicted model, not a curated record.